AAGAAUUUGAAGCUGCUGCUCGGCCUGUUGUUGAGGACCUGCUUGAAGUGACCGAGGGUGACCCGGUCCGGCGGCACCGCCACCUUCACCAAGUACGGCGUCUCCUCCUCAUCCAUGUGGUUUGGCUUGUCCUUCUUCACUCGUUGAUUCCCUUGGCUUGACUGAAAUAAAGGAUACGCUGAACCAUGAGGUUACAGAUUGUGGUGGAAUACAAAGUGGGAUUGCACAAUCAAGUGAAGCAGGGCCCACAUAGUGCAAGUGCUGAUUUAUUGUGUAUCUUCCUGGACAGAAGAAGGAUCAACAAAUUGGAACACUAUCAACAUAAAUCAUGGGAUUGCAGGGCUGUAGGAAAUUGAAGGAGGAUGCAGUUGUUGUGACUCAUGAAGCUUAUGACAUCAUGACUCUAAAGAGCUUAAUCAAUGUGCCAGCUGGUCUCUCCUCUCCACCAUUUCCAAAUCUUCAUCAAUACAAGGAGCAGGAGACUAUGAAUGAAA
Long non-coding RNA from Pristis pectinata (smalltooth sawfish), 494 nucleotides. RefSeq lists it as uncharacterized. The transcript is spliced from 4 exons. NCBI's taxonomy places the organism in Eukaryota, Metazoa, Chordata, Chondrichthyes, Rhinopristiformes, Pristidae. The record is from RefSeq and is a predicted model, not a curated record.